UGAUUUUACCGUCACGAUAGAACCAAACCCUCGCUAGCCCUACCUCGUCUCCCGUCUCCAGUCGCAGCCGGUGAUCUCCUCGCCCCCCUGCGCAGUCGCCCAAGGCAAGGGACGGGAAGGGAAGGCAAGGGAAGGGAAGGGAAGGGAGAGGGAGCGCCCAGAUCCACGGCGGCAUCAGCGCGCCGUCGUCGACCUGAUCCGCGUCCGUCCUCGAGGGAGGUCGGCCAUGGAGGUCCGACCCGGCCCGGCAGCAGCCAUGGACGGACGGAGACGCCCCAAACCCUACCCUCAAGGACGAGGCCUCAACCUUCAAGGACGCGCGCCGGCGACCGCGGAUCUCCGGUGACGGCUAUGAUGAUGAAUAUAGAGAACGAUACGUCGUUGAUAUCCUGAAAUCAGCUGUCCGGUUUGAUUUUUGAGGCCUUGGUGAUAGAUGUUCUCGAUUGUGAUGCCCAGGCCUGUCUGCCGCAAUUGUGUGUUUGUUGCUGCUGAGGCAUUCCUUUCCUCAGUGGUUAGACGGACUUUGGGGACACAAAUUUUGUGUGAAGUGAACCACAGGGCCUUCAUUCUAAUCAUCAAGAUGGCAAGACUGAUUUACGUCAGUCAUCCUUCUGUUUUACUUGGUUAGUAUAUGCUCUUGCAAUCAUACACUUUCAGAUAUUAUAAGGUCACAGUUUUUCUCCUAUAAUAAUGUAGCAUGUUCAUGCUUGUGUCGAGCAAGAACUAUUUCCCACAAACAAAGAGAGAAAUCUAAAGCACUCUUUUUGGUAACUUUUGUUACAUUAGUGUUGAAGAAUAGAAACUCUUUCUUGUUAAGAGACCAUUUGUCUGGUAUUUAUACCUGUACACCAGCCACGCAAAGCAUCACUGUUCUUCGAAAAGAGACACUGCACUUUGUGUUAACACUAUCCUUGCACCCCUGCAUCAAAUUUCACUAUUCACUGAAACUAUCAGAACAAAAGAAACAUAUGGUUCUACAUAACUUGAUGGCUACGAGUUUAUUUCUAAUGAGUUUGUUGGUUCUUUUGCUUGACUCUAAUCCCUGCGCAGCUCUCUCAUGGAGGAACAAUAGUUUAGUGGAUGAUAUUGGUACACCGUCUCCAAUCCCUUCUCCUAAUGGAGCAAUUGGUAGUCUCCGUUCUGUUUUUUUUUUCCGUCCCACCUACCACUUCGUCUGGGUUUUUCGUUGUUUUUUUCGUCAUAUAUCUAUCGACCGCCUGGUUGCCACCUGACGAAUCUGUUUUUAUUUAUUAUUAGGUACCUGAAACCUGAUCUGAUGAAGUUGCUUGUCAAUCUACCUUCCUUUGAUGAACUAGAAGGCCAAGAGACAUGGGUGGAUCCAGCAUGGGGCAAGGAUGUACAGAUGUACACCCAAAAAUAAUCUCCUUCCAAGCUCCAACUCUGAAAUUUCAUUCCUUAAUUUGAUUCAUUGUGAAAUCCCAACUUAGUGUAUAGUUUCUAUCCGUUUCAGCGAGAAAUAGCUAUUGAUGUCACUGAAAGGAGUUAGGAUCUGUUGAUUAUUAGCAAAAAAAAUAAAAAAUGAAUUAUAUUUUAAUUGUAGGCAGUAGAGCAUUCAAACCUCAAGAGGAAGAAAAUUGAUUUGAAAACAUUAUGGAGUAGAGAUGGGAAGAAAUAUAUGGCAUGUAUUCAGGUUGAGCAGCAAGUGCAGGUGUAGAACAAUUCCUCAUCCAAUCAACUUCAUCCGCAACGGCUACAGAUUUUUAGUGCCAUGAACACAAGUCCAAUCGCAGAAUCUUACAUUGAGCCGUGCACCAAUUGGCUCCUCUGUUAGGGUGAAUAUUUUUCUUGAACACCCAUUGUUAAAUUCAUGGAUCCGCCACUGCCAAGAGACCAAGGACUCAAGUGGGCGACUCCAAAAAUGGAUACUCCUGAAACUUUAGCCAGUGGCCAUGUUGAUGGUAUUUUUUGGAAACAGGGGAGGGCGUGUGUUAUUGUUCAAACCAUGCGCCUAUUUUUUUAAUCUUUUGCCAGUGACCACAUUGCCGCCUGAUUCUCGAGUGCAACCAAGAGGAAGGAUGGCACCGACAGUUGGGGCUCCGAGUAGGGCAAGUACCUUAUCUGCGAUCUUGGAUCGGGCUAUGUGAUGAAUCCAUUUGGGCAUGGUGAUUUUGGUGACGGAGGGAGAUCCCUGAUGCCAGCGUCGCCAUGGCUGAGAUGACAGAGAAGAAGGCCGACAACCUGGAUGCUUUCAAGUAGUCCAUCGAUCUGGGGGUCUAGAAUGUGAAGAACCUACAAGGUGGCUACCUCCUUGCUCAAGAGCGCAAAUUACACGCAGCCAGCAACCACUGAUCAACCAUCAACAAAUCGAUGUAUCUAUCAGCCAUUUUCUUAUGAAGAAGAUUUAGUCAGCUAUGUUCAGAGAUGAGGUUAAACUGGAAGUGAUUCUUUCUACUUCUCCAAAAAGAUAACUCCGUUGGAGUACAUAGUUGAGUUGAGCCAUGUAGUAGGAUAUUAGUGUAGUUGACGAAGGUUUCAGCAAGAAAUUAUGUCUUAAAUCAUCAUUAACAUGACAUGUGAUUGUAUCUUGCACUAAUUCCAGCUGCUAAGUUCUCUAAUUAGUAAAGAAAAUAUUCUAAGUGGACGCUGGAAAUAGAUGUUCACUAGCAUGAUUCCUGAUUUAAUCUUCAAUUUUU
Molecule: non-coding RNA, 2654 nt
Organism: Triticum urartu
Lineage: Eukaryota; Viridiplantae; Streptophyta; Magnoliopsida; Poales; Poaceae
Source: RefSeq, a predicted model, not a curated record